Long non-coding RNA from Canis lupus familiaris (dog), 2203 nucleotides. RefSeq lists it as uncharacterized. Lineage: Eukaryota; Metazoa; Chordata; Mammalia; Carnivora; Canidae. The transcript is spliced from 4 exons. The record is from RefSeq and is a predicted model, not a curated record.
UAACAAAAAAAUACUCAAUGGAUUCAAAAGAGUGCAGAAAAAGGGGGAAGCAGAACCAAGAACACGUGAGGGGAAAUAGAAAACAAAGAGUAGGAUCGUAUAUUUGAACCCAACCAGCUCAAUAAUCACAUUAAAUAUAACUGGUAUGAACACCGUGUGAUAGCCAGCCUCCAAGAUAGCGGCCAUGGACACUUGCCUGGUAUUCACAUCACCAUACAAGCCGUUCGUUCCCAUUAAUGGUGGGCUGGGCUUUGUGACUUACUGAAGACCUACUACAGACAAGAUAAGGCAGAUGGGAUGGUGUGAUUGCAGAUGAGGUCAUAAAAGGCAAGGUGACAUUUCUUUCUUUCUCUCUCUCCCCCCAGUAUCAGUGGCUCCGGGGAAAGCCAUAUUGCUAGCAGUCCUGUGGAGAGGUCCAUAUGGUGAUGAAGGGCAGCCUCCUGUGAACAGUCUUGGUGGUGAGCUCAGAAGUGCAUUCUCCAUUUCUGCCAAAGCUUCAGAGCCUGCAGCCCCCUCAGACAGCUUGAUUGGAACCUAAUCAGAGACCCUGAGCCAGAAUGGCCCACCUAAGCUGUUGCAGGAUUUCUGACCCUCUGAACCUAGUGAUAAAAAGUCUCAGCAAACUAGGAAUCCAGAGGAACUUCUCCAAUCAGAUUGGGGACAUCUACAAGACUCUUAAAAUUAACAUUACACAGAGACUGAACGCUUCUCUCCUAAGAUCAGGUUGGAAGUCAUGAUGUCCCCUCUCCGCAUUUCUAGGCAGCAUCAUAUUGGAGGUUUUAGCCCUUGCACAAAGGCAAGAAGAAGAAUUAAAGGGCAUCAGAUUGCAAAGGAAGAAAUAAAACUGUUUUUAUGGGUAGAUGACAUGAUCCCCUACACACAACAUUCUCUUGAAUUCACAAUAAAGCCCCUGCACAACUACUGAGUUUAGCAGACUUGCAGGAUACAAGAUCAACACACAAAAAUCAAUGUCUUUGUAUAGACGAGCAACAAAGAAUCAGAAGUUAAAAUUUAAAAAUCAAUAUGAUUUACAACAACAUCAAAAAUAUUAACUGCCUCGGGAUAAAUCUGACGAAAGGUGUACAAGAUCUAUGCUCCAAAGACUGCAAAAUAUCGCUGAGAGAAAUGAAAGUAGACCGGAACACAUGCAGAGGUAUAUGUGUCCAUGGAUCCAAUGACUCAAUACUCUGAAGAGUCCAGUUCGUACUGAAUUGCUCCAGAUUCAACAUCCCUCCAAACAAAAUCCCAGCAAGGUUUUUUGUAGGAAUUGAAUGCUGAUGCUAAAAUGUAUAUGGCAAUAUUAAAAAAGAUCGAAACUCAGAGCUACAUGCAGAAAGAGCAUCGCAUCGAAUAGGAAAUAAAUGAAGCUGUUAAAAAGAAAAAGAGCAUCAAGCCCUUUUGGAGAAGACCUGGAAUAUAGGAUUUGGGGGAAUCCAACCCAAGAGAUAGGAGGAGAUGGGAAUGCCUGGCAAUGGGUAGACAGAAGGCCUAGGACCCAGCCUUUCCUGCCUUCGGAUUACGGGAGAGGAUUGUCUCUUCAUCUGCUACCAGGGGAGUCCCUGGACGGUCACACUUGACCUUCGUGAUCAAUCGCCCCGAACUUUCCACUGUCUUUCUCCAACAUCGCUGCUCCACCCCCUGCCAGCCUGUCCAAGACCUGAGACCCUGCACUCCCGGGGCCUUGCGUCAGUGGAGAUUCCAUCCACGUUCAUCAGGGGGCUCGGAACGAUUGCACAGCACGCCCGGGGCGAUCGGGGCUCCGCCACAGAGACGGGGUCCUCGUGGCCACCGGCCGGUCAGUGAUCGAACUCCAACACCCAGAGCAGAGUCGCCUUCCUCCAACCACAUGCCAUGUGGCUUAUUGUCCUACUUCUGAUCUUCUGGUUUAUUUUAAGGAAGAACAGCCAAAAUACAAGCGGAAUUUGGCAAAUGAAGCAUGAACAACGUGGUCCGGGAUCCACUGCACAUCUAAACCACAGUAGAAGGGAGUCGUUUACAAGCAUUUGCUGAGAAGCUGCAUUGAUGGGUCGAGCUGGGCUCUGGGGAGGCAAAGAUCACACAUGGUCACUGCUCUCAAAGAGGGCCUUCUAAUGGACAGCCUGGGUGGCUCAGCGGUUUGGUGCUGCCUUUGGCCCAGGGCGUGAUUCCAGAGUCCCGGGAUCCAGUCCCACGUCAGGUUCCCUGCAUGGAGCCUGCUUCUCUC